RNAcentral lists this ribosomal RNA (253 nucleotides) under uncultured bacterium. Its description in RNAcentral is "partial 16S ribosomal RNA". It matches the Rfam family "Bacterial small subunit ribosomal RNA", at positions 524 to 776 of the family's 1533-position model. The record is from RNAcentral.
UACAGAGGGGGCAAGCGUUAUUCGGAAUUAUUGGGCGUAAAGGGCGCGUAGGCGGCUUGGCAAGUGGAAGGUGAAAUCCCUCGGCUUAACCGAGGAACUGCCCUCCAAACUGCUUUGCUUGAGGCCGGGAGAGGCGAGUGGAAUUCCCAGUGUAGCGGUGAAAUGCGUAGAUAUUGGGAGGAACACCAGUGGCGAAGGCGGCUCGCUGGACCGGUGCUGACGCUGAUGCGCGAAAGCGUGGGGAGCAAACGGG